UACGGCUCAGUAACACGUCGAUAAUCUGCCCUUAGGUCAGGAAUAACUUCUGGAAACUGAAGCUAAAAUCUGAUAUGGAAAUUCUACUGGAAGGUGUUUUUCCGUAAACGUAAGGCCUAAGGAUGAGUCGGCGGUCGAUUAGGUUGUUGGUGAGGUAAAGGCUCACCAAGCCUAUGAUCGAUAGGGGCCUUGAGAGAGGUAACCUCGAGAAGGGCACUGAGAUACUGGCCCUAGCCCUACGGGGUGCAGCAGGCGCGGAACCUUUACAAUGCACGAAAGUGUGAUAAGGGAAUCCCAAGUGUCUUGCUUUUAGCAAGGCUUUUGCCAAAAGUAAAAAUCUUGGCGAAUAAGUGGUGGGUAAGACUUGUGCCAGCCGCCGCGGUAACACCAGCGCCACAAGUGGCAACCGCUUUUAUUUGGCCUAAAGCGUCCGUAGCCGGUUCAGUAAAUUUUCUGUGAAAUCGUUAGGCUUAACUUAACGCCGUGCAGGAAAGACUGCUGGACUAGGGACCGGGAGGCGUCAGAGGUAUUCCUGAGGGAGCGGUAAAAUGCUAUAAUCUCAGGAGGACCACCGAUGGCGAAGGCAUCUGACGAGAACGGAUCCGACGGUGAGGGACGAAAGCUAGGGGAGCAAACCGGAUUAGAUACGAGAAAUCAUCCUGAUUUCUGGAGUUAGCUCGGAAAGAAUUGUUAUUCUACUGAGUACGAGUGUGAUUUCAGAAGUUGUUAAAUGUUGAUUUCCUCGCUAACUACCCGAGUAGUCCUAGCUGUAAACUCUGCGAGCUAGGUGUUACGUAUUCUUCGGGAAUAUGUAGUGUCGAAGCGAAGGUGUUAAGCUCGCCGCCUGGGAAUUAUGGUCGCAAGACUGAAACUUAAAGGAAUUGGCGGA
This 889-nucleotide ribosomal RNA is filed under the name uncultured archaeon. Its description in RNAcentral is "bacterial SSU rRNA". It matches the Rfam family "Archaeal small subunit ribosomal RNA", at positions 84 to 872 of the family's 1478-position model. The record is from RNAcentral.